This 420-nucleotide ribosomal RNA is filed under the name uncultured bacterium. Its description in RNAcentral is "partial 16S ribosomal RNA". It matches the Rfam family "Bacterial small subunit ribosomal RNA", at positions 363 to 775 of the family's 1533-position model. The record is from RNAcentral.
UUUGGACAAUGGGGGACACCAUGAUCCAGCCAUAUCGCGUGUAUGUUGAAGGCCUNCGNNUUGUANANUACUUUUUGCAGAGANNNNNAUGUAUCUCCUNAUCCGAGAUACUGCUGACGGUAUCUCAAGAAUAAGCACCGGCUACGUACACGCAAGAAGCCGCGCUAAUGAGAAGAGUGCAAGCGUUAAUCGGAAUUACUGUGCGUAAAGCGUGUGUAGGCGGCUCGGAAAGAAAGAUGUGAAAUCCCACGGCUCAACCUUGGAACUGCAUUUUUAACUGCCGAGCUAGAGUAUUUCAGAGGAGGGUAGAAUUCCACGUGUAGCAGUGAAAUGCGUAGAUAUGUGGAGGAAUACCGAUGGCGAAGGCAGCCCCCUGGGAUAAUACUGACGCUCAGACACGAAAGCGUGGGGAGCAAACAG